GCCUAACACAUGCAAGUCGAACGGUAAGGCCCCUUCGAGGAGUCCGAGUGGCGAACGGGUGAGUAACACGUGAGCAACCUGCCCUUGACUCUGGAAUAACAGCUGGAAACAGCUGCUAAUACCGGAUACGACCUCCGUAGUCAUCUGCUGGAGGUGGAAAGCUCCGGCGGUCAAGGAUGGGCUCGCGGCCUAUCAGCUAGUUGGUGAGGUAACGGCUCACCAAGGCUUCGACGGGUAGCCGGCCUGAGAGGGCGACCGGCCACACUGGGACUGAGAUACGGCCCAGACUCCUACGGGAGGCAGCAGUGGGAAUAUUGCACAAUGGGCGAAAGCCUGAUGCAGCAACGCCGCGUGCGGGAUGACGGCCUUCGGGUUGUAAACCGCUUUCAGCUCCGACGAAGCGCAAGUGACGGUAGGAGCAGAAGAAGGACCGGCCAACUACGUGCCAGCAGCCGCGGUAAU
This 462-nucleotide ribosomal RNA is filed under the name uncultured bacterium. Its description in RNAcentral is "bacterial SSU rRNA". It matches the Rfam family "Bacterial small subunit ribosomal RNA", at positions 46 to 524 of the family's 1533-position model. The record is from RNAcentral.